This 440-nucleotide ribosomal RNA is filed under the name uncultured bacterium. RNAcentral's name for it is "partial 16S ribosomal RNA". It matches the Rfam family "Bacterial small subunit ribosomal RNA", at positions 338 to 795 of the family's 1533-position model. The record is from RNAcentral.
CCUACGGGAGGCUGCAGUGGGGAAUAUUGCACAAUGGGGGGAACCCUGAUGCAGCGACGCCGCGUGGGUGAAGGAGUACUUCGGUACGUAAAGUGCUAUCAUCAGGAAAGAAAAUGACGGUACCUGAUUAAGAAGCCUCGGCUAACUACGUGCCAGCAGCCGCGGUAAUACGUAGGGGGCAAGCGUUAUCCGGAUUUACUGGGUGUAAAGUGAGCGUGGACGGCAGUGCAAGGCCGGAGUUAAAGCCCGGGGCCAAACCCUUGGACUGCUCUGGAAACUGUAAAGCUGGAGUGCGGGAGGGGCAAGCGGAAUUUCUGGUGUAGGGGUGAAAUGCGUAGAUAUCAGGAGGAACACCGGCGGCGAAGGCGGCCUGCUGGACCGUAACUGACGUUGAGGCUCGAAAGCGUGGGGAGCAAACAGGAUUAGAUACCCGGGUAGUC